Molecule: long non-coding RNA, 1480 nt
Filed under: Monodelphis domestica (gray short-tailed opossum)
Lineage: Eukaryota; Metazoa; Chordata; Mammalia; Didelphimorphia; Didelphidae
Description: lncRNA (ENSMODG00000048802.1)
Source: RNAcentral
GGCUUUCUAUACAGGAACAGCAGUGUCCGGGCACACAAGCAAGGCGCGUCGAGGGGUGGCUUCUUGAGUGAGCACAGACCUGCUGCUCCCCCAGACCACUACCACGCUCCUGUCCAUGAGCUGCCUCUGCUCUUGUCCCGUUUAUGUGCUAGGGGAGGAGGGAGGUGCCCUUGUUCUCGUGUCCCACAUCCAUGAAGUUUCUGAAGGCUAGAUCUAAGUUGCCCUCCCUACUUGAGCUGCAGAGACACAACUAGAAAGGCAAAAUAGUUAUUUAUGGAAUUUUUAAUUUUUGAAAUCUUAUCAUUGGAACCUAUAGGUUAAUUGGUCUUUUAAAUAUUUCUGUCUCGUCAUUCAAUUUGAAUUUUGAUACUAAAGUCUUAGAGGCUGGGAGCAGCCCAUAGGACCCAAGAAAUUUUCUCAAAGAGUGUCUUGGAGCCCAGGUCCUAUCUUAAAGCAGAAUUCCAGCACUUACUGUUGUCAAAUUUAGGAGCUUGGCUCUUUUUAAUGGAGGCUGUCAAAGCUCUGCACAAACAUAACCUCAUUACACUGGACUCCUGUUGUCCAAAGUGAACAAAAGUUUAACUGCAGACUGAAAUGAACUCAACAAAGUCCUUAGAUUCCUGCUUUGCUGUGGAUAUUUUUAUAUAUUUUUGUUUAAAAAAAAAAAGGCUGAGCCAACAAGAACUAUAAUCAUGGGAACGUCUGGAACCACCCUCUUCAUCCUUCCUUCUUCAGAAGAUUUUGUACAGGGUAAAAUCCGUCCUGCUUUCGGUGUCCUGGUUGCACGUGCCUUCUUACAGAUGUCACCUGGUGCUUGCUGUCUAAAGAACCUAGUUAGCAGUAACGCACCGGACUAAACAACUCGGCUUGUCUACCCACGUGUUGGCUCACACAAGGGGCAGCAUCUAAGUGCCUGCGAUUCCCCAGCCUGCAUCUGGUGCUUUGGGGCUUCACCGGGCUGAAGCGAGACGUCUGGACGAAGCUGGUUCCUGCCCAACUCCAUCCCGCCUUCCCUUCCGCGGCAGGGUUUAAGUUCUUCGCCUCCUUCUUACCAAAGUGUUUUUCCAUUUUUACUCCUUGGGGGAUGCUGGCAGACUGGACAGAAAGGCCUAAAUCAGUUGUGACCAAACCAAGCGAGCUCUUGUUCUGAGUGAAGAACUGUGAUGAUGGAAGAGAUGGGGAGAGGGGAGAGGAGAUCCUUUUGGUCACACAGAGCAGGAUCCGCCUGUCAACUUUUUUCUAAAUGGUGCUUUCACAAAUUUCCAGACUGAUCUCCCUUUCCGCAGCUCCUUGUUAGCACGGUAAAAUGCUGCUUUGGUGACUAUCAGAAUGAAGACGUUGGGAAACUUAGGCGUCUUCCCCCACCCUUUUUUUUUUUUAAGCAAAUACUGGAGACGUUCAUGGUCUCAGAACAUGGAAUGUACUUGAGAGAAGAGAAGAGAUUUUUUAGUUUAUCAAGAAACUUUCAUCCAACCAAAGC